This 275-nucleotide ribosomal RNA is filed under the name uncultured bacterium. RNAcentral's name for it is "partial 16S ribosomal RNA". It matches the Rfam family "Bacterial small subunit ribosomal RNA", at positions 338 to 605 of the family's 1533-position model. The record is from RNAcentral.
CCUACGGGUGGCUGCAGUGGGGAAUUUUGGACAAUGGGGGCAACCCUGAUCCAGCCAUGCCGCGUGCGGGAAGAAGGCCUUCGGGUUGUAAACCGCUUUUAGUCGGGAAGAAAAGGUUAUCCCGAAUAAGGAUGACUCUUGACGGUACCGGCGGAAUAAGCACCGGCUAACUACGUGCCAGCAGCCGCGGUAAUACGUAGGGUGCGAGCGUUAAUCGGAAUUACUGGGCGUAAAGCGUGCGCAGGCGGUUCGUUAAGUUCGAUGUGAAAGCCCCG